This 353-nucleotide long non-coding RNA is filed under the name Homo sapiens (human). Its description in RNAcentral is "non-protein coding lnc-DUSP14-7:1". The record is from RNAcentral. Lineage: Eukaryota; Metazoa; Chordata; Mammalia; Primates; Hominidae.
ACUUUUAGUUUAGUACUAAACAAGUCACACUUCCAACGAUCCAUAGUAAUACACUAGCCAUAAAACACCACCCAGGACUGCCAUUUUCAUCUCUUCUUUCUCCUUAUCCCCAGCAAUAGAAGUAAUACCAAUGACUUGCUUCUUUCUUUGAAUCUUGGGAGGCCCCAGAGAGUGAUGGUGAUAGUGGUGGUGGGAGGUGUGUAUUGGGGUCAUUUUCCAAACAUAAAACUAGUAAACUCCACGAUACACAUACACACAUUCCCUUAUUUGAAGAAUAUUUACCGAGUGCCAAUGUGUGUCAGGUACCAGAUGCUGGGGACAAACCAGUGAACAAAACACCACAUCCCUGCUCU